AAAAAAUAAAUGAAAUAAAAGAAUAGAAAAAGAGAAAGAAGAACAGAAAAGAAACAGAGAAAGAGACGAAAACAGGGGAAGAAAAAGGGAAAAUAAAAGAAAGGGGGAAAAUUGAGAUUUUGAAGCUUGAAGUUUAAUAGGUAAGCUAAAUCAAGUCCUUUUCUCAUAAAUUUGAUGUUUUUUUGGAAUCCUAGAGUGAAAUACUCUUGGAUUUAAGUUAAAAAUUUGAAAGUUAAUAGAUUUUUGAGUAGGGUUUAUGUUGAAUAAAUGAUGGAAUUGAGGGUUUAUUUGAUAGAGUUUCUAGUUAGAGUUGAUAAAAGGAUUAAAUUGUGAACUAAACUAUAAGUUUUGAAUUUUAGGGAUUAAAUUGAGGAAAAUUCGAAAUUAGUGAAAAAUGCUGAAAAAAAUUAGUAGAUAAAUUUGAGUUUGGAAGAAAUUUGAAUAGAAAUAGUGUGUGAAUUAAAUUAGAAAAGUAAAUAAAUUUAGUUAGGAUUAAAUUGGAAUUAAAGUAUAAAUUAGAUAGAAAUUCUAUUAUUAUUAUAAAUUAAUAUUGUAAUUAAUAGUGUAAAUUAUUAUUAUUUUCGUAGCUAACAAGGAAAACGAGGCAUCGGCAUCCAAAGGAAAAGAAAAGAUUGUUGAGGAGUAAACGCGUAUUCCGGAUUUGUAUUACUAUAACUUAAACUAUUUACUAAAUGCUAUAUUGAAAUAUAUGUGAAUUGAAAUAAUAGAUGUUUUGAAUUGUUUGAGUAUUUGAGAUUGUUGUGGAAAUGAAUUCGAAAUUGGAAAAGUAAAAUAAUACCCUAUUAACUUAUCGGACUAGAUUGGAUACAAAUGGCAUGCCAUUGAAUUUGUGAUGUGAUGAUGAGAUUUGUAGUUCGGCCGAGAAGAUGAUUAUAUUAUUAUAUGCUUCGGUUUAUCCGAAGAGGCAUUUAAUGCCUUAUUGGUGUGUUAUGGAGGAUUUAAAUAAUUUCGGGUGUGUUUAGGUUGGAUAUUCUGGUGUGUUUGGGUGGAAUCCUCGUAUCUGUCAGAGUCCGAGCCUUGUUAAUAGGGUAAAUAAUUGAAAUGAAAAUUUGAAAAUGAAAUUUGUUGAUUUGUCACUAUAGAAAAAUACGAGAAAGAGUGUAUGAGUUAAAUUAUGAAUUGAAUUAGUAUGUAAAUAUAUAUAUUUAAAAUUUAUGGAAUGAUAUAUGAAUAUGUAUAUUUAGUUUAAAAUGAUUUAUAAAGCUUAUGGUCAAUAUUUGAAAUUUUAUUAUUAUUAAAUAGUAUAAUUUAUAGUAAUACCACUGAGUAUAAAAAUAUUCAACAUACGGUUGUUUCCGUGCGCAGGUUGUAGAAGUCAAGUACUGAUCCAGCAUCCAAAACUAGACCCGACUUCAGCAAAUUUUGGUGAUGUAUAUUUUCUUUUGGUAAUGUGGCAUGUACAUAGGAUGUGUAUAAACGUUAUUAUGUUUUGAAUAUAAAUAGUUAAAAAUGUUAGUAUUAUAAAUCUAAGAAUUUUAAUGAAAGAAAUUUAUCCAUUCCAAUUUAAUUAGUACAUUGAUAAAUUUAAAUUGAUAUUGAAUUAAUUGAGUUUGAUUAGAAAGUAUUUAGAAUAGAAAAUGUGAAUGUGAAAUGAAUUGGUUGAAUUGGUUAUGUUUGGAAAAAUUAUGGUUUUAUUUGCAGGAGGUUUAAUGUAAAAAUAAACAGAAAUGCUGCCGAAAUUUUUAUAAAAAAAAAACCGAAUGAAGUCAAUUAGUAAUGUUUAUAUGAAUUUAUGAUUUAUAUAUUUUUUUAAUAUGUUGGUUAUUUAUGAUUUGUUUAUUUGUAAAUUGUUUAAUAUGUCCGGUAAUGUCUCGUAACCUUGUUUCGGCGACGGUUUGGGGUUAGGGGGUGUUACAAAGCCAUUAUGUAUGAUUAAUUAAGUUGAAGCAUUGGGAAUUAGGGUUUAAUGUGGAAAGAAACAACAUGCGAACCCUUUUUAUGUAAAUAACCCGCGAACCCUAGGAGAACUAUUAUGUGAACCCUCAUGUUAUAUAGUAUAACAUAGUGAAUUGUUAAUACAUGCAUGCGAACCCUAGGUGAACUAUUAUGCGGACUUUUAUGUGAAAUGUUAAAGCGGACCCUUAGUACAUGUAUGCGAACACCUUUAGAGAAUAUAUGCAAACCCUUAGUACAUUUAGGUGACCCCUUAGUGAAUAUGUAUGUGAACCCUUUAUGCGAACCUUCAUGUGAUAUAGUAUGUGAAUUCGUAUGUGCGAACCCUAUAUGUGCGAACCCCCUGUGAUUUAGUGUGCUAAGCCUAUAUGUGUACCCUAUGUGUGAACUUGUUAUGUAUGUGCUAGCCAAACUAGAACGAUAAACAAUCUAAUAUUAAUAUAAUAUUACAAGUUUAAUUUGCAUGAAAAAUCUGUACAUGUGAAAAUUGAUAUGAAUGAAUGCAUGAAAACAUGUAAUUUGGUGAUAGUAUGUGAUAAUUAACGUGCUUGACAAGUAUUGCACCGAUUGUUGACAAAUAGCAUGAUAUGAUGAGUUUAUGUGCAUGAUUACAUGAAAUUGGGUAUGGAGGACGGAGGAGUUCUGUAGGAGAAAGUGGGAAUUUAAGUCCACACCGAAAGUCAGUACUGCAUGAAGUAGGCGACAAUUCAUCGAAGCCAAGCAAACCAGGAUGAUAGUUUUAAAAGCCAUCAAAAUCGGGCAGCCGAGAUGAUAAGUUAUUGUAGUAAAAGUCAUCGUCACAGAUGACAAGUCAACAACCAUCGUCACUGGGAAAUCUUGGAUGGUCAAUUAUUGAAAUGUGUUUUGGAGUGUUGAACGAUGCUCGAGGGCGGAUAGGAUGGAUGCGUGAGAACUUAAAAUUAAAAUUGCAUUGCAUCAUGAACAUAACCUAUACAUGCAUUGAUUUACUGAAUGCUCCUUACAUUAUGCUUAAUUGCUAUGUUGCUAUAAAUUAAUGCUUUACUAUUUGCACGGUUAUAUGUAGUGGUAAAAAUUAGACACACACUGAGUUGUCAUAAGCUCACUCCCUCUUUUUCCUUACCUCUUAGGUAAUGCAGGAAACUAGGACUCAGAAUGGCAUUAGAGGAACCUCGGACAGCUUGUUUUUUUUUUUUUUAAGUUUCCAUUAAAGUUUCCAUUAAUUAUUUUUGGGUUGUAAUUAUUAAUUAUUUAUUGCUUUUAUAUCUUAAAGAUUGUUUAGCUUGUUAAUUUUAAGCAUGAUACUUAGUUAAUACUAUGAUAAUUGCAAAGUACUUAAAGUUUUAAUAAGUCUUUU
RNAcentral lists this long non-coding RNA (3250 nucleotides) under Gossypium raimondii (Peruvian cotton). RNAcentral's name for it is "long non-coding RNA (GRAI_LNC000070)". The record is from RNAcentral. Lineage: Eukaryota; Viridiplantae; Streptophyta; Magnoliopsida; Malvales; Malvaceae.